GACGAACGCUGGCGGCGUGCUUAACACAUGCAAGUCGAACGGAAAGGCCCUGCUUUUGUGGGUUUCUCGAGUGGCGAACGCGUGAGUAACACGUGAGUAACCUGCCCUUGACUUUGGGAUAACUUCAGGAAACUGGGGCUAAUACCGGAUAUGAUCUCCUGCUGCAUGUUGUGGGUUGGAAAGUUUCGGCUGUUGGGUAUGGACUCGCUGCUUAUCAGCUUGUUUGUGGGGUAGUGGCUUACCAAGGCUUUGACGGAUAGCCUGCCUGAGAGGGUGACCGGGGACAUUGGGACUGAGAUACGGCGCAGAAUCCUACGGGAGGCAGUAGUGGGGAACAUUGCAGAAUGGGGGGAAGUCAGAGGCAGAAACGCCGCGUGCGGGAUGACGGCCUUCGGGUUGUAAACCGAUUUCGAAUGUGACGAAGCGGGAGUGACGGUAAUGGGUAAAGAAGCAACGGCUAACUACGUG
Molecule: ribosomal RNA, 468 nt
Filed under: uncultured bacterium
Lineage: Bacteria
Description: partial 16S ribosomal RNA
Rfam family: Bacterial small subunit ribosomal RNA
Source: RNAcentral